ACAGAACUGUGGGGACGCAUGUGGAGAGCACGAGCCGGGAAUGGAAAUACCGGUACAAGCGGAGAAGGAGUCUGGUUGGCAAAUCCGCCAGGCAAUCCGAAGACGUGAUGUGGAGCUAAUUAGAGUAGCGAAGCGUGUGAGCCAUGUGCCGAGAAAAGCCGCUAUUGUUUCAUGUGUGCCCGUACCGUAAACCGACACAGGUGGAUGAGGAGAGAAUCCUAAGGCCGGCGGAAGAAGCAUUGUAAAGGAACUCGGCAAAAUGACCCCGUAACUUCGGGAGAAGGGGUGCCUGCUAACGCAGGCCGCAGAGAAUAGGCUCAAGCAACUGUUUAGCAAAAACACAGGUCUAUGCGAAACCGAAAGGUGAAGUAUAUGGGCUGACGCCUGCCCGGUGCUGGAAGGUUAAGAGGAGAGGUUAGCGCAAGCGAAGCUUUGAACUUAAGCCCCAGUAAACGGCGGCCGUAACUAUAACGGUCCUAAGGUAGCGAAAUUCCUUGUCGGGUAAGUUCCGACCCGCACGAAAGGCGUAAUGAUUUGAGCACUGUCUCGACAAUGCAUCCGGUGAAAUUGAAGUACCAGUGAAGAUGCUGGUUACCCGCGCCAGGACGGAAAGACCCCAUGGAGCUUUACUCCAGUUUGGUACUGGGAUUCGGUACUGCAUGUACAGGAUAGGUGGGAGACUAAGAACUUGGGACGCCAGUUUCAAGGGAGUCGCUGUUGGGAUACCACCCUUGCAGUAUUGGAUUUCUAACCAGCCGCCGUGAUCCGGCGGUGGGACAAUGCCAGGCGGGGAGUUUGACUGGGGCGGUCGCCUCCGAAAGGGUAUCGGAGGCGCUCAAAGGUUCCCUCAGAAUGGUUGGAAACCAUUUGAAGAGUGCAAAGGCAGAAGGGAGCUUGACUGCGACACCGACGGGUGGAGCAGGUAGGAAACUAGGACUUAGUGAUCCGGUGGCAUAAAGUGGGAUUGCCAUCGCUCAACGGAUAAAAGCUACCCUGGGGAUAACAGGCUUAUCACUCCCAAGAGUUCACAUCGACGGAGUGGUUUGGCACCUCGAUGUCGGCUCAUCGCAUCCUGGGGCUGUAGCAGGUCCCAAGGGUUGGGCUGUUCGCCCAUUAAAGCGGUACGCGAGCUGGGUUCAGAACGUCGUGAGACAGUUCGGUCCCUAUCCGGCGCGGGCGGAGGAUAUUUGAGAGGAGCUGUCCUUAGUACGAGAGGACCGGGAUGGACGGACCACUGGUGUAUCUGCUGUCGACCAACGGCAUGGCAGAGUAGCCAAGUCCGGAAGGGAUAAACGCUGAAGGCAUCUAAGCGUGAAGCCCCCCUCAAGAUGAGAUAUCCCUCACAUAAGUGAGUAAGAUCCCUUGAAGACUACAAGGUAGAUAGGGCAGAGGUGGAAGCACGGUAACGUGUGGAGCUGACUGUUACUAAUCGAUCGAGGGCUUGACC
RNAcentral lists this ribosomal RNA (1447 nucleotides) under metagenome. RNAcentral describes it as "bacterial LSU rRNA". It matches the Rfam family "Bacterial large subunit ribosomal RNA", at positions 1458 to 2925 of the family's 2925-position model. The record is from RNAcentral.